AUCUCCUACAUAUAUUUUAGAUCAGAUCUAAACUAUCUUUUUAGAAUCUAUGAUACAAAAUUUGCGUACAAAAAUCUGAUAUAAAGAAAAAACUACAUCGAUUACAUUGAUGCCCUAGAUCAGAUCUAACAAUUAGAUCUAAUCGGAUGAGUUCAAAACUCAUUACCUUUGUAUGGGUCGAUGAUCGUCACUAUUGAUAGGCAUGGUAUGAGGUUCUUUCUGAUGUCGAGCAGCCACAUAGCUCGUCUAGCCUCUAUAGGUCAUCCACUCAAAGCCCUAAUC
RNAcentral lists this long non-coding RNA (282 nucleotides) under Elaeis guineensis (African oil palm). RNAcentral describes it as "long non-coding RNA (EGUI_LNC067950)". The record is from RNAcentral. Lineage: Eukaryota; Viridiplantae; Streptophyta; Magnoliopsida; Arecales; Arecaceae.